Molecule: ribosomal RNA, 280 nt
Filed under: uncultured bacterium
Lineage: Bacteria
Description: partial 16S ribosomal RNA
Rfam family: Bacterial small subunit ribosomal RNA
Source: RNAcentral
GACGAACGCUGGCGGCGUGCUUAACACAUGCAAGUCGAGCGGUAAGGCCCUCGGGUACGACGAGCGGCGAACGGGUGAGUAACACGUGGGUGACCUGCCUCUAGCUCUGGGAUAAGCCUGGGAAACUGGGUCUAAUACCGGAUAUGACUCCACGGCGCAUGUUGUGGGGUGGAAAGCCUUGUGUGGCUAGAGAUGGGCCCGCGGCCUAUCAGCUUGUUGGUGGGGUGANGGCCUACCAAGGCGACGACGGGUAGCCGGCCUGAGAGGGCGACCGGCCACA